GAUUUUGUGAGUUGUAAUGACCUUGGUAAUCGUGUUGUGAAGAUGGUUGAGACUAGUAGACACAUCAUUUUUCCUUUGGUAUAUCGCCUCAUUGAGUUGCCAUUGAUUUUUCCUAUUGCAACCGCAUCAAUGGAAAGAGCUUUCUCAGCUAUGAGUAUUAUUAAGACUGAGUUGAGGAAUAGGACAAGUGAUAAUUGGCUGAAUUAUAGAAUGGUUUGCUACAUUGAGAGACAUGUAUAUAUUUGCAAGUAUUGA
Molecule: ribosomal RNA, 255 nt
Filed under: Triticum aestivum (bread wheat)
Lineage: Eukaryota; Viridiplantae; Streptophyta; Magnoliopsida; Poales; Poaceae
Description: partial small subunit ribosomal RNA
Source: RNAcentral